Molecule: non-coding RNA, 4065 nt
Organism: Marmota flaviventris (yellow-bellied marmot)
Lineage: Eukaryota; Metazoa; Chordata; Mammalia; Rodentia; Sciuridae
Source: RefSeq, a predicted model, not a curated record
CGGUGCCGCCACCGCCGCAGCCGGAGUUGGAGGAGGGAGAAGCCAGGAAGAAAAUGGCGGCCGUGGCUGCAGAGGCGGCAGCGACUGCUGCGUCCCCCGGGGAGGGGGGCGCCGGCGAGGCCGAGCCGGAGAUGGAGCCCAUCCCCGGCAGCGAGGCCGGCACUGACCCCCUCCCGGUCACGGCCACUGAAGCGUCUGUGCCGGACGGCGAGGCCGACGGGCAGCAGUCCGCUCCUCAGGCCGACGAGCCGCCGCUCCCGCCGCCGCCGCCGCCGCCAGGGGAGCUCGCCCGCAGCCCGGAGGCGGCGGGGCCGGAGCUGGAGGCUGAGGAGAAGCUACCCGUCCGGGUGGCGGAGCCGGCGGUUGCGGCGUCUCAAGAAGGGCCGGACCUUCCACCUUCCCCAGAGCCGCUUUGCGAGCAGCCCCCGGCUCCCGAGGAGCGCGAGGACACGCCGCUGCCCCAGCCCACAGCUCCGGCGCUGGUGCCGCCGGCGGGCGGGGACUCCGCGGUGUCGCAAUUGAUUCCCGGCUCGGAGGUGCGGGUCACUCUGGACCACAUCAUUGAGGACGCGCUCGUCGUGUCGUUCCGCCUCGGAGAGAAGCUCUUCUCCGGGGUCCUCAUGGAUCUGUCCAAAAGAGACCAUGAACGUAUGGUGCAAUAGCUCUACUUUUGGUGGGAAAAAUAUACAGCCAUUCUGGUGAAGCAGUUUGGGCCCCAUGGGAUCCCUGUGACAGUAUUUCCUAAAAGGGAAUAUAAGGAUAAACCGGAAGCCAGGCAGCUCCAAAGUAAUACAUUCCAAGAAGGGACAGAAGUCAAGGGUGAAGUGAAUGGUGCUGUUCCCAACGAUCCUUCUGUCCCACCUCCUGAGCUGAGUUUGGCUGAAAGCCUGUGGACUUCCAAACCACCACCUCUCUUCCAUGAAGGAGCACCUUAUCCUCCCCCUUUGUUUAUCAGGGACACAUAUAACCAAUCAAUACCUCAGCCUCCUCCUCGGAAAAUUAAGCGACCCAAACGAAAAAUGUACCGGGAAGAACCCACUUCAAUAAUGAAUGCUAUUAAACUACGACCCAGACAAGUCCUCUGCGAUAAGUGUAAAAACAGUGUUGUUGCUGAAAAAAAGGAAAUUAGAAAAGGUAGUAGUGCAAGUGACUCUUCUAAAUAUGAAGAUAAAAAACGGAGAAAUGAAAGUGUAGCUACUGUGAACAAAAAACUGAAAACUGACCAUAAAGUGGAUGGGAAAAACCAAAAUGAAAGCCAGAGAAGAAAUGCUGUGGUUAAGGUUUCAAAUAUUGCUCACAGCAGAGGCAGAGUAGUCAAAGUUUCUGCUCAGGCAAAUACGUCAAAAGCUCAGUUAAGUACUAAAAAAGUGCUCCAGAGUAAGAACAUGGAUCAUGCAAAAGCUCGGGAAGUAUUGAAAAUUGCCAAAGAAAAGGCACAGAAGAAGCAAAGUGAAACCUCUACUUCCAAAAAUACACAUUCAAAAGUCCAUUUCACUCGUCGAUACCAGAAUCCUAGCUCAGGUUCCCUUCCACCCCGGGUUCGUUUAAAACCACAGAGGUACAGGAAUGAAGAAAAUGACUCUUCUUUGAAGACAGGACUCGAGAAAAUGCGGAGUGGCAAGAUGGCACCCAAGCCCCAGUCUCGCUGCACCUCCACCCGCUCAGCAGGUCUCAACAAAUGGCAGCUAUUACAUCAGACAGUGACGAGUCCUGCUGCUCCCUUACAGUGUCUGACAGACCACUGUGGAUUCAGACUGGGAGCAUUGAAGUUAACAGUGAAACGGGCAGCACAAAGACAUUAGCAGGCUGCUGGUUUCAUGGACCUGUACCACAAUGACAGAGAACAUCAGAGCAUCAGGACUGAAUGAAAUUGGAGAUUUUUAAAGCUGCACUAAGAAGUAAAUGUUAAGGCAGUGGUUAAACCCAAAAGUCUAUAAAGGGGCACUUGCAUUAUAAUAAACUGAAGAAAAGGUAUUAGGGAAUAUUUUCUAAAACUACUGCAAUAAAUUAUGCAUGAGAUGAGGAGAAAGUGAUGUGAAUACACGUAAGAACUCACUUGAAUCUUACAUAUGGAGAAUCACUGACAAUAACUUCCUUAGAAUGUGAAGUUCUUAUCAGUACAGUCUGGACAGGCCUAAAGGGCACGGGAUGAUGUAGAAAUGCUGAAUUAUUUUUCAUACCUAAACUUCGUGCUUGCUCCAAGGCUUAUGUUAAUCAGUUCAGAUAUGAGCAAUGGUAUUUCUAGAAUGGUUCUUAUGAAACAGCAAUAGUCUCGUGCUAAGGCCAAUGUCUCCUUCAGGGUGCCAGUGGAAACAAGAGGAAAGAUUAUCUAACAUCCCUCUGGAGGGAUGGCAAAGUGCCCCACUCCACAAACAAAUUUGGAUCAUUUCUUUCUUUAAUAAAGCAGGGCUGUAUUAUCUUGAAUACAUGUUUGCUUGUUAGAACAUAUUAAGGUGUAUUUAUUUGCCACUAGUAUUUAACAUUUUGUGCACAUUUUCAUAACUACAUGCUUAUCUUUUCAUAUUUUGACUCCAAGUGGAUAGUCUAGUGUUGACCUUGGAGUGAAAAUGUAUACUCCAAGAGCUAGUUCUUAAUUUACUGAGCUGGAAAAAGUUUUAUUCUUGUCUCUGUCCUUAUUGAUUUUAUCUUGUUCAGAAGAGGUAACAACAUCUGAAUUUUGAUGUAGACCUCUUUACAGAGAGCCCCUCCAUCUAAUUGCAAGAAAUUCUCACAGGUGUCAGGUAGGACUUGGCCCUGGGGGAUGAGUGGCCAGAAGAGAUCCAUAAAGAUAGCUUGAACUUUCUGUGCAUGGAACACGAAUUCUUAGUAGAGACCAUAAUUUCUUUCUUUGAUAAGUACAUAUUAUGAAAAACUUUAAUUUUUCUUUUUUAAUGAAUGGAGAAAACAUGAGAAAAUCAGAUGGACCUGUUAGUACUACAUUUUUAAGGCAUUUUAUAUUUGAUGGUGCCGUACUUUUAAUAAAAAAAACUGAAGUUUUUUAGUGGCAAUACUGAUUUAUUUUUUAAAUCAGAAAGAUUAUUCCAUAUUGGUUACUUGUUUAAAAAAAAAAAAAAGAAAGAAAAAAAAUGCCAAAAAAAAAAAAAAAAAAAAAAAACCCACAAAUUCAUUUGAAGCAACAUAAUAGAUAGCUGAGCACUUGGCUCAGGUGUUCUAACUUUCCGUGAUCUUACUGUAUAGGUUUGGAAUUACCUAAUGACCACAUGCUCAGGAUUGAUAAAAUGUUCUAGGUGAAAGUUUUAGAAUAUUUAAUUUAUCUGACUGAUUGUUUUUUACAACUCAAGAAAACAUGCAGUCUUGAGCCUUGUGAGCUUAAUACAAAUCCUAAUUACAUUGCAAGUAAUUAAAAGUGUUGACUGCAUCCUACAGUUGUCUUUUUGGAAGAUUCAGUAUUAUGAAGUCAUUAUAUAUCUUAUCAAAUUGGAAAAAGUCAGCUCAGGAACUAUAGCAGCAGGAAAUUCUAAAGAUGACAGGUACUAUCAGGUGCCCUACUCUAGAUGGCCCAAGGGUGAUGGCAUGGGUCAUCUUGGCCUUUCAGAUACCUAACACCAGCAGUACCUUUUAGGCUCAUUUCAAGAACCAGAUGACUCCCAAGCCUUGGUGGGAUUACACGUGGAUUGUAUAAUGAGGAUUUUAAACUAAGCUUUAGGAUUCUUUGUGUAGAGUAAUGGGAAUGACCAAGAAGUAAUAAUAUAAAGGCAAAAUAAAUGGGAGAGAUCGAGUUUUAAGUAUCUAAAUAUUUUUUCUCAUAAUAAAUUCUCAAAGAUGUUUUGUUGCAAACUAGAUUUUCAUUUUUUAAAAAAUGAAACUUGGUGGUAUUUAAAAUCUAGACCAUGUUGUGACAUCACUUAUAUUGCUUUAGUUGCUUAAUAUUUAAGCUUUGCUUCAUGCUACCUUUUGUCUGUAUUUCAAAUCUUCACAAGCCUAUUUCAUUUUGUAGACUUGAAUGACAAAAAUUGUUUCUCAUCUUAAGUAUGCUCAGAGUUAAAUGUUGAAGAAUGUUGUGUAACACUUAUCCAAUAAAGUCUUUGAUUUUUUUAAAAUUUA